UUUUUAGUGUAAAAAUGUACCAUACAAUAUUUGGUACAUACUUACACUAAAA
Pan troglodytes (chimpanzee) is the source of this 52-nucleotide microRNA precursor. It matches the Rfam family "mir-1302 microRNA precursor family". Lineage: Eukaryota; Metazoa; Chordata; Mammalia; Primates; Hominidae. The record is from Rfam.